RNAcentral lists this ribosomal RNA (269 nucleotides) under uncultured bacterium. RNAcentral's name for it is "partial 16S ribosomal RNA". It matches the Rfam family "Bacterial small subunit ribosomal RNA", at positions 793 to 1055 of the family's 1533-position model. The record is from RNAcentral.
GUCCACGCCCUAAACGAUGGAUACUAGUCGUGAGAGGUAUCGACCCCUCUCGUGACCGUAGCUAACGCGUUAAGUAUCCCGCCUGGGGACUACGGCCGCAAGGUUGAAACUCAAAUGAAUUGACGGGGACCCCGCACAAGCGGUGGAGCAUGUGGUUUAAUUCGAUACUAACCGAAGAACCUUACCCAGGUUUGACAUCGAUCGCAAAGCGUUGAAAGGCGCUCCUCCCCCACAAGGGGACGUGAAGACAGAUGUUGCAUGGCUGUCGU